This 484-nucleotide ribosomal RNA is filed under the name uncultured bacterium. Its description in RNAcentral is "partial 16S ribosomal RNA". It matches the Rfam family "Bacterial small subunit ribosomal RNA", at positions 29 to 507 of the family's 1533-position model. The record is from RNAcentral.
AUUGAACGCUGGCGGAAUGCUUUACACAUGCAAGUCGAGCGGCAGCGCGGCCUUCGGGCUGGCGGCGAGCGGCGAACGGGUGAGUAAUGCAUCGGAACAUGCCCAGUCGUGGGGGAUAACACUUCGAAAGAAGUGCUAAUACCGCAUGCGUCCUGAGGGGGAAAGCGGGGGAUCGCAAGACCUCGCGCGAUUGGAGUGGCCGAUGUCAGAUUAGCUAGUUGGUGGGGUAAAGGCCUACCAAGGCGACGAUCUGUAGCUGGUCUGAGAGGAUGAUCAGCCACACUGGGACUGAGACACGGCCCAGACUCCUACGGGAGGCAGCAGUGGGGAAUUUUGGACAAUGGGGGCAACCCUGAUCCAGCCAUUCCGCGUGAGUGAAGAAGGCCUUCGGGUUGUAAAGCUCUUUCGGCAGGAACGAAACGGUGGGCUCUAACAUAGUCCGCUAAUGACGGUACCUGAAGAAGAAGCACCGGCUAACUACGUG